GCUUGCGGUCAUACCACGUUGAAUGAACGCCAUCCCGUCCGAUCUGGCAUGUUAAGCAACGUAGGGAUUGGUUAGUACCUGGAUCGGAGACGUCCUGGGAAUCCCAAUUGCUGCAAGCUUUU
RNAcentral lists this ribosomal RNA (122 nucleotides) under Panagrellus redivivus. The record is from RNAcentral. Lineage: Eukaryota; Metazoa; Nematoda; Chromadorea; Rhabditida; Panagrolaimidae.